CCUACGGGCGGCUGCAGUGGGGAAUAUUGGACAAUGGGGGCAACCCUGAUCCAGCCAUGCCGCGUGUGUGAAGAAGGCCCUCGGGUUGUAAAGCACUUUCAGUGAGGAAGAACGCCUGGUGGUUAAUACCCAUCAGGAAAGACAUCACUCACAGAAGAAGCACCGGCUAACUCCGUGCCAGCAGCCGCGGUAAUACGGAGGGUGCGAGCGUUAAUCGGAAUUACUGGGCGUAAAGCGCGCGUAGGUGGCUUGAUAAGCCGGUUGUGAAAGCCCCGGGCUCAACCUGGGAACGGCAUCCGGAACUGUCAAGCUAGAGUGCAGGAGAGGAAGGUAGAAUUCCCGGUGUAGCGGUGAAAUGCGUAGAGAUCGGGAGGAAUACCAGUGGCGAAGGCGGCCUUCUGGACUGACACUGACACUGAGGUGCGAAAGCGUGGGUAGCAAACAGGAUUAGAUACCCGUGUAGUA
This 465-nucleotide ribosomal RNA is filed under the name Vreelandella stevensii. RNAcentral's name for it is "partial 16S ribosomal RNA". It matches the Rfam family "Bacterial small subunit ribosomal RNA", at positions 338 to 795 of the family's 1533-position model. The record is from RNAcentral. Lineage: Bacteria; Pseudomonadati; Pseudomonadota; Gammaproteobacteria; Oceanospirillales; Halomonadaceae.